ACUAGCUUGGAUAAGGUGGAGAAUAUCUUCUCGAUUUGCCCAUGGAUAAUUAGCGGAAUCUUGUUUCCAUUGUUCAAGACGAUGAGAUAGUUCCA
This 95-nucleotide transfer RNA is filed under the name Suttonella ornithocola. Its description in RNAcentral is "tRNA-Gln(ttg)". The record is from RNAcentral. Lineage: Bacteria; Pseudomonadati; Pseudomonadota; Gammaproteobacteria; Cardiobacteriales; Cardiobacteriaceae.